Molecule: ribosomal RNA, 423 nt
Filed under: Harrya chromipes
Lineage: Eukaryota; Fungi; Basidiomycota; Agaricomycetes; Boletales; Boletaceae
Description: eukaryotic LSU rRNA
Rfam family: Eukaryotic large subunit ribosomal RNA
Source: RNAcentral
UAACAGGAUUCCCCUAGUAACUGCGAGUGAAGAGGGAAGAGCUCAAAUUUUGAAUCUGGCGGGGCCGUCCGAGUUGUAAUCUAGAGAAGCGUCUUCCGCGUCGGACCCGUGUACAAGUCUCCUGGAAGGGAGCGUCAUAGAGGGUGAGAAUCCCGUCUUUGACACGGACGUGUGAUGCGCUCUCGACGAGUCGAGUUGUUUGGGAAUGCAGCUCAAAACGGGUGGUAAAUUCCAUCUAAAGCUAAAUAUGGGCGAGAGACCGAUAGCGAACAAGUACCGUGAGGGAAAGAUGAAAAGAACUUUGGAAAGAGAGUUAAACAGUAUGUGAAAUUGCUGGAAGGGAAACGUUUGAUGUCAGUCGCGUCGGCUGGGGGUCAAUCUGGCGCUGGGUGUAUUUCCUGGUCGACGGGUCAGCGUCAGUUU